This 1311-nucleotide long non-coding RNA is filed under the name Macaca mulatta (Rhesus monkey). RNAcentral's name for it is "lncRNA (ENSMMUG00000062000.1)". The record is from RNAcentral. Lineage: Eukaryota; Metazoa; Chordata; Mammalia; Primates; Cercopithecidae.
UGCACACAUAGUGCCUGGCUCAUAGUAGGGGCUCCAUAAAUAAUUUUUCUCUGAAUAAAAACUUUUUAACAAGCCUACCCUCAGUGCCUUCUGACUCAGCCCAAAUUUUAAGACUUGGCCUCCAAGGCCCUCCAUGUUCUGGUCUCACUGUGUCCAUCUGGUCAUGCCUUGUCAUAGAUCCCAAUCUGAGCUCCCAACACCACCCAGCUGGGCUCCCUGUGUCCUCCACUUUCAGUAUUGCCUCAGCACCUUUGCUUACAGCUUUCUCAUGGCCUGGAAUGCCCUCCCUCCUCCUGCCUGUUUAAAUUUUCCUCCAUAGAAUGAGAUCCUGCAGUCUCCCCUCCUCUGGACUUCAGUAGAACUGAGGAGAAAAAGUUUCCUAUUUCGACUAUUGUGUUCCAGUGAAUUGUCAUGAACUAUUUCUUGUGUCUAUUUCUCAUCUCCUAGCAAUGAAUCUAGUUUACUUUCCCCUUAAUUUCCUGUUCAGAUGUUUUGUUCUUUUGUAAAAUAUACUGGACUUCAAGAAAUCUCCUUCCAGUGUUGUAGCCUAAGGCAGAGCUGAUGUUAGUUGCUACGGUGUUGCUAAGGAAAGUCAUUUAGCCAGGGCAGAUAAUUAACUUUAUCAGUGUGUGUGGGUAGGUCGCAGAAGAGAAGAACUGGGCGCUCCAGUUCUCCAAGAGGAAAAAAGUCCUUUGAUUCAUAGGAGGAGCCCGCAGAGGGAUGGAUCUUGCCUGGCUGACACCUCUGUGGGUGACUGGGUUGAUUCCUCUGCUGCCACCCCCAUCCCCUGGGUGUCAUGUUCCAAACCCACCCAAAGACCAGACAGAUGGGCCCCUUUCAUGAUGAGACAAGAGACACUUGCAGAAUACAAAUCACCACCUCGCAUUAGGCUCCCCAACAGCACUAGAAAUGGAAGUGGAAGAGACACACAGAAUCCAGCUUUUAAGACUUCGGUUGUUAAUGUCAAUGGACGGAAUUCAUGUAAAAGGAGGCAAACAGGCUUGUUUCUGCAGUUUGGCCUGACAUUUUUUUUUCCUUCCCAGCAGAGAUAAAUUGCGACAUUUGGCAGCCCUUAAAAUGUAUCACAUGCCUUUGUAAUGAUUUGCUUAUAGAGUUUUUAUGGAUAAUAACAACAACUAAUAUUUAUUGAGCACUAACUACAUGUCAAGCAACUAAUACAUGUUUAUGUCAUUUAAUCCUUAUAUCAACUCUAUGAAAUAGGUUCUUGGAUUAACCUCUCUUUAGGCAUGUGAAGCGUAGGAAGUGUGAUUCAUUUGCCCAAGGUCACAUGGUAAGUGGGGGAGGUAGCAC